Molecule: ribosomal RNA, 782 nt
Filed under: Staphylococcus epidermidis
Lineage: Bacteria; Bacillati; Bacillota; Bacilli; Caryophanales; Staphylococcaceae
Description: bacterial SSU rRNA
Rfam family: Bacterial small subunit ribosomal RNA
Source: RNAcentral
UAGUGGUUUGAGUUACUCCUCUGCUCAGGAUGAACGCUGGCGGCGUGCUAAUACAUGCAAGUCGAGCGAACAGACGAGGAGCUUGCUCCUCUGACGUUAGCGGCGGACGGGUGAGUAACACGUGGAUAACCUACCUAUAAGACUGGGAUAACUUCGGGAAACCGGAGCUAAUACCGGAUAAUAUAUUGAACCGCAUGGUUCAAUAGUGAAAGACGGUUUUGCUGUCACUUAUAGAUGGAUCCGCGCCGCAUUAGCUAGUUGGUAAGGUAACGGCUUACCAAGGCAACGAUGCGUAGCCGACCUGAGAGGGUGAUCGGCCACACUGGAACUGAGACACGGUCCAGACUCCUACGGGAGGCAGCAGUAGGGAAUCUUCCGCAAUGGGCGAAAGCCUGACGGAGCAACGCCGCGUGAGUGAUGAAGGUCUUCGGAUCGUAAAACUCUGUUAUUAGGGAAGAACAAAUGUGUAAGUAACUAUGCACGUCUUGACGGUACCUAAUCAGAAAGCCACGGCUAACUACGUGCCAGCAGCCGCGGUAAUACGUAGGUGGCAAGCGUUAUCCGGAAUUAUUGGGCGUAAAGCGCGCGUAGGCGGUUUUUUAAGUCUGAUGUGAAAGCCCACGGCUCAACCGUGGAGGGUCAUUGGAAACUGGAAAACUUGAGUGCAGAAGAGGAAAGUGGAAUUCCAUGUGUAGCGGUGAAAUGCGCAGAGAUAUGGAGGAACACCAGUGGCGAAGGCGACUUUCUGGUCUGUAACUGACGCUGAGGCCAAAUAUUCUAAC